UUUUCGUUGUGGUGAACGAUAAUUAUAUAACUACGGUGCAUUAUCUCCACAUUGCAACGAACGAAAAAUAUAAAUAUACUAUGAGUAAUUGACUCAGGAUACAUUAUCUCUUUAUUGUAACAAACGACAAAUAUAAAUAUACUAUGAGUAAUUGACUCAUAGGUUACAUUAUCUCUUUGUUGUAACAAAAGAUAAAAUUAAAUAUAUGAGAAAUUGACUCAUAAGCUACAUUAUGUCUUCGUUGUAGCAAACAACAAUUAUAAAUAUACUAUGAGAAAUUGACUCAUAGGCUACAUUAUCUCUUCGUUUAGCAAACAACAACUAUAAAGCACCGACACUGACACGGACACCAGACACGUGGACACCUGUCAAACACAUUAAACUCAACUAGGACACGGGCGUCGGUGUCGGACACGGCAAUGGGUUAGGGUGUCCAUGCUUCAUAGAAGCACAAUUACUCAUGAACUCACAAUAAAUAGAAUAAACAAAUAAUCCAACAUUCAUCCUAAAAGAACUUAAAAAAAAUAUUGGAUUAUUUGUCUUCCAAAAAAAUAUAUUUACUCACACAAAAGAACGCAACCAAUGUCUUCCAAUGUUGUUGGGAGGAUCAACCACCGUAUUAGAUCUAAGCAUUUAAAAUAAGAAAACAAGAGAUAAGGCAAAAUCCCCAAUUUUAACAAACCUAGGGUUUUGAGAGAACCACAAUAAUUCCUAAUACUUAGUUUCUAACCCUCUUCACACAACCCGUAAUGCUAUAAAUACUCAUCUAACACAAUGGGUUAUAAAUUUUUACCUUGAAGAGAUCAAAUAGGAAAAAAAUUAAGAAAAUGAGUAGUGUUUCCUUUUUCUCCAAUCACCUUCUUGUGCUUGGGAAUGACACAAGGAUGCAAUAAACUUGAUAAUUUUUGAAGCAAUGGAAAAAGAUGAGUGAAAGAUUAAGAGAUGAAAAUUUGAAAAGAGAUAGGGUUUGAGAGAUAUAGAAAAAGAAAAGGAAAUUUGGGAAAUGGAGGAAGGGUCUCGGGUAGUCAUAAGCUGAUGGAGGGUGGGUUUUUUUUUUCUUUCCCUUUUAUUUAAGUGAAAGGGUGUGUUUCAUGUUCUGAACUAACAAACGACAUCCAAUUUUAAGGGGACAUUACUUAAAGAUCAUAUAAAAGAGCAUAAUAAUUCUACAUACCACCAAAGAUGUAGAUACCAAAAAUUAACCUGACUGUUCAAUAUACUCUCUUUCCAAUAUACUAGUAGUCCAUUGAUAAGACACAGUAACAAAGAUAAAUUCUUCAGAAACAUGUGAACAGCGCCCAGUACCCAUGACACAAGCACAAACACAAUAUAAAUUCAUUGUUCAUCUUCCUAGUAAAGCCACAUAAAAUUCUUGAAUAAACCUCACACAUACUUGAAACGAUAAAGAUGAUCAAACCAUUAACCAAGUCACACUAUUCUUGAUACAGAAACAGCAAGAAGAAAAUUUGGCAUUACCAACUUACCAAAUACCAUUUGUUAGAAACAACCAAUCCAAAACCCCAUAAAAGCAAAUAACUUAGUCAAGAAUGAAGUCAACCCCCCCACAGCCUCCACACAUUCAUUACUCGUAAAAUAACUAGAAGUAUAUAACUUAUCCACUUAGAAAUCCAACAAUUCAAAAUCUAGUGAAAGAUCAUCGAAACAUAGACCAUGCUAUAAAUUUAUUGUUCAUCUUCCCAGUAAAGCCACAUAAAAUUCUUGAUUAAACCUCACACAUACUUGAAACGACAAAGAUGAUCAAACCAGUAACCUUAAAGUUGCACUAUUCUUGAUACAGAAACAGCGAGGAAAAUUUGACAUUACCAACUCAUCCAAUACCAUUGCUAUAAAUUUCAUUGUUCAUCUGCCCAGCAAAUCCACAUAAAAUUCUUGAUUAAAACCUCACACAUACUUGAAACGACAAAGAUGAUCAAACCAGUAACCUUAAAGUUGCACUAUUCUUGAUACAGAAACAGCGAGGAAAAUUUGACAUUACCAACUUAUCCAAUACCAUUGUUAGAAACAACUAAUCCAAAACUCCAUAGAUCCAGAUAACUUAAUCCAAAACAGGUUCACAGUUCAUUCCAUAUUUCCAGUGAUCAAAUCCAGAAAAUGAAAAAUAUAAACAAAGUCAUACAAGACAUUUAGGUUUAUCUGCAGCCAGAUCUAGUUCACGUUUGCCAGAAAGGCAUAAUAUUUUAUUAAUUCAAUCUUCAAUCAGCAACACCAUGGAAAUAAAACUCAUCUGGAAUCCAGAAAGGCAUAACAAUUUAUUGAUUCAAUUGCAAUCAGCAACACCGCAGAAAUAAAACUCAUCGGGAAUCUAGCAUGCGGAAAAUGAAUAAAGUCAAGUAGAUGAUUAAAUCAAGUGGCUAUUAC
Molecule: long non-coding RNA, 2379 nt
Filed under: Glycine max (soybean)
Lineage: Eukaryota; Viridiplantae; Streptophyta; Magnoliopsida; Fabales; Fabaceae
Description: long non-coding RNA (GMAX_LNC003272)
Source: RNAcentral